AUCUCCUUCCAAUCCCUGAUGAUUCCUGACCUCUCUUCUUCCAACUGGUAAUACCUGCACUCAAGGUUGAACCAUGAGGAGGAGUCUACCCACACCCCAGACCACAGCACUUCCUCCUCUCUGUCUGCCACUCCCUAGUGGGGCCUCCUGGAUGGUGUGAGAGGACAGCAAUGGAGAUAGAUACUCGUGACGCGUCCCCAGUUCCCACUCUCAUUGGGUGUCGGAUGUCUAGAGAAGCCAAUCAGCGUCGCCGCGGUCUCAGCUCUAAAGUCUCCACGUACCCACCCGGGCUCAGAGGCUCCUCAGACGCCGAGAUGCGGGUCAUGGCGCCCCUAACCCUCCUCCUGCUGCUCUCGGAGGCCCUGGCCCUGACCGAGACCUGGGCCGGCUCGCACUCCUUGAGGUAUUUCCACACCGCCGUGUCCCGGCCCGGCCGCUGGGAGCCCCGCUUCAUCCCGUGGGCUACGUGGACGACACGCAGUUCGUGCGGUUCGACAGCGACGCCGCGAGUCCGAGAGAGGAGCCGCGGGCGCCGUGGAUGGAGCAGGAGGGGCCGGAGUAUUGGGACCGGGAGACACGGAUCGCCAAGGACGCCGCACAGACUCACCGAGGGAACCUGCGGACCCUGCGAGGCUACUACAACCAGAGCGAGUGGGGUGAGUGGCCCCGGCCCGGGACGCAGGUCACGACCCCUCCCCAUCCCCACGGACGGCCCCGGUGGCCCCGAGUCUCCAGGUCCGAGAUCGGCCCCGAGGCCGCGGGGCCCGCCCAGACCCUGGACCGGGGAGAGCCCCAGGCGCGUUUACCGGGUUUCAUUUUCAGUUGAGGCCAAAAUGUCCGCGGGUUGGUCGGGGCGGGGCGGGGCUCGGUGGGCGGGGCUGACCGCGGGGGCGGGGCCAGGGUCUCACACCCUCCAGAAGAUGUAUGGCUGCGACCUGGGGCCUGACGGGCGCCUCCUCCGCGGGUAUGACCAGUACGCCUACGACGGCAGGGAUUACAUCGCCCUGAACGAGGACCUGCGCUCCUGGACGGCCGCGGACAUGGCGGCUCAGAACACCCAGCGCAAGUGGGAGGCGGCCCGUGCGGCGGAGCGGCAGAGAGCCUACCUGGAGGGCGAGUGCCUGGAGUGGCUCCGCAGAUACCUGGAGAACGGGAAGGAGACGCUGCAGCGCGCGGAUCCCCCAAAGACACACGUGACCCACCACCCCGUCUCUGACCAUGAGGCCACCCUGAGGUGCUGGGCCCUGGGCUUCUACCCUGCGGAGAUCACACUGACCUGGCAGCGGGAUGGGGAGGACCAAACUCAGGACACCCAAGAGUUGGGGCUGGAUGUCUCCAUCUCAGUCUGA
RNA transcript from Cercocebus atys (sooty mangabey), 1349 nucleotides. It is a transcript of the gene named HLA class I histocompatibility antigen, B-7 alpha chain-like, with no coding region annotated. The transcript is spliced from 5 exons. Lineage: Eukaryota; Metazoa; Chordata; Mammalia; Primates; Cercopithecidae. The record is from RefSeq and is a predicted model, not a curated record.